Molecule: ribosomal RNA, 443 nt
Filed under: uncultured bacterium
Lineage: Bacteria
Description: partial 16S ribosomal RNA
Rfam family: Bacterial small subunit ribosomal RNA
Source: RNAcentral
CCUACGGGAGGCAGCAGUGGGGAAUAUUGGUCAAUGGACGAGACUCUGAACCAGCAAAGCAGCGUGAAUGAUGACUGUCUUCUGGUUGGAAAGUUCUUUUCUAAUGGAAGUAAAAUGUUCCACUACCUUAAGAUUAUACCUACGCUAACUACGUGCCAGCAGCCACGGUAAUACGUAGGAGGCGAUCGUUAUCCGGAUUGACUGGUCUUAAAGGUUGCGUAGGUGGAUUGACAAGUUAGUAGCGUAAGUCCGCGGCUCAACCGCGGAAUUACUGCUAAAACUGUCUGUCUUGAGUGCAGGAGAGGUGAGUGGAAUUCGUGGUGUAGCGGUGGAAUGCGUAGAUAUCACGAAGAACACCGAUGGCGAAGGCGAAUCGCUGGACUGCAACUGACACUGAGGCUCGAAAGUGUGGGUAGCAAACAGGAUUAGAUACCCGUGUAGUC